This 167-nucleotide small RNA is filed under the name Dorea sp. CAG:105. Its description in RNAcentral is "Clostridiales-1 RNA". It matches the Rfam family "Clostridiales-1 RNA". The record is from Rfam by way of RNAcentral. Lineage: Bacteria; Bacillati; Bacillota; Clostridia; Lachnospirales; Lachnospiraceae.
AAAUAUCAGGUUUUAGAUUUUUUAAUCAACUUGAACUUGUUUAUGAGUGGAUGAAAGAUUUUGAAAACUGCCCAGUAUAUGUAUAAAAGUGGGAUUGAGAUUCUACGACAUAUAAAUGGUGGGGAAAAGUGUGAGAAUGCGGAAUACGGAACCGCUCGCAGAUAUUA